This 1237-nucleotide long non-coding RNA is filed under the name Strigops habroptila (Kakapo). RNAcentral describes it as "lncRNA (ENSSHBG00005001237.1)". Lineage: Eukaryota; Metazoa; Chordata; Aves; Psittaciformes; Psittacidae. The record is from RNAcentral.
CUUUCUGCGCGGCCCGGGGCGCUGGGGCGCGGCGGUGGGGAUGCGGGGCGCCCUGCGGCGGGUGCCCCUCUCGGCGGGUGCCCCUCUCGGCGGGUGCCCGGCGGCGGGGGCGGUGCUGCCGGUGGCUCUGUGGCUUGUGAGCGGUUCCGUCCGUGCCGCAGCGGUAGCUUGGGCCGCCGGGCGCUCCGGCAGCGGCAGGGCGGUGGCUGGCGGCCCGGGGAGCGAUGCACUCGGCCUCAGAGCUGCUGCCGCUGCCUCCCGAGGCAGCUCCUUCGGCAGAGCAUGUGCGCGCCCGAGCAGCAGAGCGGUUCCCCGUUUCUCUCACAGGGGUUAGAACUGCUCUCUGCUGUUCAGCGGCAGAGGGGUUGGAGCUGGAUGAUAUUUAAGGUCCCUUCCAACCCAAACCAUGCUAUGAUUAUAAAUCCAAUUCUGGCAGCACAAAACAAUAACUAUAAGCUGAGGAACUGAAGGGGCGGGUCGCUGGCACCGUUCCCUUAACGGCGUAAGGCAUCACUUAAAAGGUGCUGUGACAUCAGAUGACCUUCUCCACUGUCUCCAAACCCUGUGUAUGCACAUACAGCCAACAGCAGACUGCAUCCACCUCUAGAAGAAUGGGUGUUUAAGGUGGGAGGGAAGUCUGCCAGCAUGAAGGACAGCACUGACUGUGUGGCAAAGUCAACUGAAAGACCUGACACAAGUCUUCAGUGCAACUUCUGGACUUUGAUUUGACAUGAACUAUUAUUGCAAUCAAUUGAUACAAACUUUUUUCAAACUGACAAAAUCUGAAAACUCUGUACCCAAGACUAAAGACUGAGUUGCAUUAUUUACCGUGUUUUAGGGUCAGAGAUGAUUCAAGUAACAAGACGGCAAUCAACGCAUCUUCUUCAAGUACUUUCUUUCUUAGACUUAGUUUAGCAUGAGCCUUAGACAGUGAAAUCCUGACACAUGAAUACAAGCAUGUCAGAAAUAAAUAUUGCGGACAUGAAUGUAGUAUGUACUGUGCUGCUUCAAGCGCUUCCAAACCUCAAAAGUUAACACAAGUGGGUUUUUCCUAUACCUUGGCUGUGUAAACUCCCCCCAGAUACUGUGUGGUUAUACUUGUCACUGACGAGGUGUGUGUUACUAGGCAUGCUUUUCUUAUGCUCUGAAAGCAGUGGAAGCUGGCAUAUUAUAUACUGUUAAUAACUUUGCUUGUGUAAUACCAAGCUGUAAUAAUUAAAAUCCGAUUUUUGUUUUC